AGAUAAAAUGCAAAAGAAAAAGCUAACCUCCUAGUAAACCAUUUCAUAUUCGUCGAGAGAGAUAAAAUAGUAUUCCUCUCUCUCUCUCUCUCUCUCUCACCUAGCUAGCUAAGAACGAAGAUGCAGCAAUCCAAUGAAUUCUCCAAUUUUCGAUAAUUCUUCAUCGCCAAUUCAAUUCUCCACAUACUCAACCAAUUGAAUUUCAAUCCAACAAGGAGAUUAGCUCCAUUUUCAAUUUCACCUAUUUCAUACGAGGAUUUGGCUUGAGGUUCAAUUUCAUUUGAAAUUGAUUCAGACAUCAGUUGAGAGCUUGGGCUUUUAGUCGUUGAGCUGUCUAACAAGGCUGACCUAGAAUUGGAAGCGAUCAGGCAAAGGAGAAUAAUGGCUCAACGUGGCACGGGAGGCUGAUUUUGACUUCGUAUAGUAGUAAGUAGAGUUGAAGAAAGGCUCAUAACGCUGCUCCAACAAUUCAAAGAAACUAGUGAGAAUCCCGUAGCCUCCGAGGAUUCUUCAGCUUCAAUUUCGGCUACCAAUAUUAGAACAAAGAAGCUCUUUGUCACCGCUUAAGGAUUCAAAGAUACCAAAGGUAGAAGCAUUUAAAGUUUCGGGAAAAAAGCUGCAAUAAUUUCCUCUUGAGACAGAUGGCACCUAGCAAGAAAUGGAUGAAUUUUGUGAAUGAUCGAUUGAAUGAAAAAUAUAAAGCUGGCGUGGUCGAAUUUUUGGACUAUGCUUUUU
Long non-coding RNA from Salvia miltiorrhiza (redroot sage), 735 nucleotides. RefSeq lists it as uncharacterized. The transcript has 6 exons. The record is from RefSeq and is a predicted model, not a curated record. Lineage: Eukaryota; Viridiplantae; Streptophyta; Magnoliopsida; Lamiales; Lamiaceae.